Cavia aperea (Brazilian guinea pig) is the source of this 134-nucleotide small nucleolar RNA. The record is from Ensembl. Lineage: Eukaryota; Metazoa; Chordata; Mammalia; Rodentia; Caviidae.
GGUACUUGUGUGCGUUUUUGUCUUAACUUGUGGACUUCUAAAAACUUAAUGGACAGGUGCGAAAAAUAAAUCCACGUUCGAAACCCAGAACUCACAGUUCAGUAAGAGUUUUGAUACGUGCAAGAGGAAAUAUU